Molecule: ribosomal RNA, 250 nt
Filed under: uncultured archaeon
Lineage: Archaea
Description: partial 16S ribosomal RNA
Rfam family: Bacterial small subunit ribosomal RNA
Source: RNAcentral
UACGUAGGUGGCAAGCGUUGUCCGGAAUUAUUGGGCGUAAAGCGCGCGCAGGCGGUUCUUUAAGUUGGGUGUUAAAGGCAGCGGCUCAACCGCUGUUCGCACCCAAAACUGGGGAACUUGAGUGCAGGAGAGGACAGUGGAAUUCCCGGUGUAGCGGUGGAAUGCGUAGAGAUCGGGAGGAACACCAGUGGCGAAGGCGACUGUCUGGUCUGUAACUGACGCUGAGGCGCGAAAGCGUGGGGAGCAAACA